RNAcentral lists this ribosomal RNA (503 nucleotides) under uncultured bacterium. Its description in RNAcentral is "partial 16S ribosomal RNA". It matches the Rfam family "Bacterial small subunit ribosomal RNA", at positions 30 to 523 of the family's 1533-position model. The record is from RNAcentral.
AUUGAACGCUGGCGGCAGGCUUAACACAUGCAAGUCGAGCGGAGUGAUGGUGCUUGCACUAUCACUUAGCGGCGGACGGGUGAGUAAUGCUUAGGAAUCUGCCUAUUAGUGGGGGACAACAUCUCGAAAGGGAUGCUAAUACCGCAUACGUCCUACGGGAGAAAGCAGGGGAUCACUUGUGACCUUGCGCUAAUAGAUGAGCCUAAGUCGGAUUAGCUAGUUGGUGGGGUAAAGGCCUACCAAGGCGACGAUCUGUAGCGGGUCUGAGAGGAUGAUCCGGCACACUGGGACUGGGACACGGCCCAGACUCCUCCGGGAGGCAGCAGUGGGGAAUAUUGGACAAUGGGGGGAACCCUGAUCCAGCCAUGCCGCGUGUGUGAAGAAGGCCUUAUGGUUGUAAAGCACUUUAAGCGAGGAGGAGGCUCUUUUGGUUAAUACCCAAGAUGAGUGGACGUUACUCGCAGAAUAAGCACCGGCUAACUCUGUGCCAGCAGCAGCCGCCG